UACGGAAGGCAGCAGUGGGGAAUAUUGCACAAUGGGCGCAAGCCUGAUGCAGCCAUGCCGCGUGUAUGAAGAAGGCCUUCGGGUUGUAAAGUACUUUCAGUCGUGAGGAAGGUGUUAAGGUUAAUAACCUUAGCAAUUGACGUUAGCGACAGAAGAAGCACCGGCUAACUCCGUGCCAGCAGCCGCGGUAAUACGGAGGGUGCGAGCGUUAAUCGGAAUUACUGGGCGUAAAGGGCACGCAGGCGGUUAAUUAAGUUGGAUGUGAAAUCCCCGGGCUUAACCUGGGAAUGGCAUUCAAGACUGGUUAGCUAGAGUCUUGUAGAGGGGGUUAGAAUUCCAUGUGUAGCGGUGAAAUGCGUAGAGAUGUGGAGGAAUACCGGUGCGAAGGCGGCCCCUGGACAAGACUGACGCUCAUGUGCGAAAGCGUGGGGAGCAAAC
This 438-nucleotide ribosomal RNA is filed under the name uncultured bacterium. Its description in RNAcentral is "bacterial SSU rRNA". It matches the Rfam family "Bacterial small subunit ribosomal RNA", at positions 340 to 773 of the family's 1533-position model. The record is from RNAcentral.